GCCUGGGUGGCUCAGUCGGUUGAGUGUCUGACUUUGGCUCGGAUAGUGAUCUCACGGUUAGUGAGUUUGAGCCCCACCUUGGGCU
This 85-nucleotide transfer RNA is filed under the name Felis catus (domestic cat). It matches the Rfam family "tRNA". From Rfam's summary of the family: Transfer RNA (tRNA) molecules are approximately 80 nucleotides in length. The record is from Rfam by way of RNAcentral. Lineage: Eukaryota; Metazoa; Chordata; Mammalia; Carnivora; Felidae.